Molecule: long non-coding RNA, 309 nt
Filed under: Chinchilla lanigera (long-tailed chinchilla)
Lineage: Eukaryota; Metazoa; Chordata; Mammalia; Rodentia; Chinchillidae
Description: lncRNA (ENSCLAG00000027268.1)
Source: RNAcentral
CUCUGUUCCUUUGAAAUGGGAAGAGAUGUCAAGCCCCAGUUGAGCUUAGAAAAUCAUUAUGAAGAUUAAAGACAAUGAUGCACAGAAGUAGAUACUAAACAAUUGGACUCUGCUCACACAACAUGAUCAAGGCAAUGGAAGAAAUUCCUAGGCAAGAAUUUUUCCAGUGGAAUGGUGAAUGUGGCAAUCAGUGGCAGUAGACUACAAGUAUAACCCCAAUAUGGUUACAUAACUGUCUUGGGGAACAAUGGCAAGUCAAAGUUUUUUACAAUGGUCAAUUUGAAUACGUUUUUUAAGCCCCCUGAAGGA